UGGGCGAGCUGAUCCAGCCAUGCCGCGUGUGUGAAGAAGGUCUUCGGAUUGUAAAGCACUUUAAGUUGGGAGGAAGGGCAGUAAGCUAAUACCUUGCUGUUUUGACGUUACCGACAGAAUAAGCACCGGCUAACAUCUGUGCCAGCAGCCGCGGUAAUA
Molecule: ribosomal RNA, 159 nt
Filed under: uncultured Pseudomonas sp.
Lineage: Bacteria; Pseudomonadati; Pseudomonadota; Gammaproteobacteria; Pseudomonadales; Pseudomonadaceae
Description: partial 16S ribosomal RNA
Rfam family: Bacterial small subunit ribosomal RNA
Source: RNAcentral